UAGGGAAUCUUCCACAAUGGACGCAAGUCUGAUGGAGCAACGCCGCGUGAGUGAAGAAGGCUUUCGGGUCGUAAAACUCUGUUAUUGAAGAAGAACGUGUGUGACAGUAACUGGUCAUGCAGUGACGGUAUUCAAUCAGAAAGUCACGGCUAACUACGUGCCAGCAGCCGCGGUAAUACGUAGGUGGCAAGCGUUGUCCGGAUUUAUUGGGCGUAAAGCGAGUGCAGGCGGUCUUUUAAGUCUGAUGUGAAAGCCUUCGGCUUAACCGAAGAAGGGCA
RNAcentral lists this ribosomal RNA (278 nucleotides) under uncultured bacterium. RNAcentral describes it as "partial 16S ribosomal RNA". It matches the Rfam family "Bacterial small subunit ribosomal RNA", at positions 355 to 625 of the family's 1533-position model. The record is from RNAcentral.